This 490-nucleotide ribosomal RNA is filed under the name uncultured bacterium. RNAcentral's name for it is "partial 16S ribosomal RNA". It matches the Rfam family "Bacterial small subunit ribosomal RNA", at positions 29 to 507 of the family's 1533-position model. The record is from RNAcentral.
AAUGAACGCUGGCGGCAUGCCUUACACAUGCAAGUCGAACGGCAGCAUGACCUAGCUUGCUAGGUUGAUGGCGAGUGGCGCACGGGUGAGUAAUGCAUCGGAACGUGCCUUUUAGUGGGGGAUAACGUAGCGAAAGUUACGCUAAUACCGCAUAUUCUCUGAGGAGGAAAGCAGGGGACCUUCGGGCCUUGCGCUAGAAGAGCGGCCGAUGUCGGAUUAGCUAGUUGGUGAGGUAAAGGCUCACCAAGGCAACGAUCCGUAGCGGGUCUGAGAGGAUGAUCCGCCACACUGGGACUGAGACAAGGCCCAGACUCCUACGGGAGGCAGCAGUGGGGAAUUUUGGACAAUGGGCGCAAGCCUGAUCCAGCCAUGCCGCGUGAGUGAAGAAGGCCUUCGGGUUGUAAAGCUCUUUCGGCUGGGAAGAAAUCGCACCCUCUAAUACAGGGUGUGGAUGACGGUACCAGCAUAAGAAGCACCGGCUAACUACGUG